RNAcentral lists this ribosomal RNA (497 nucleotides) under uncultured bacterium. Its description in RNAcentral is "partial 16S ribosomal RNA". It matches the Rfam family "Bacterial small subunit ribosomal RNA", at positions 28 to 507 of the family's 1533-position model. The record is from RNAcentral.
GACGAACGCUGGCGGCGUGCCUAAUACAUGCAAGUAGAACGCUGAAGCGAGGAGCUUGCUCUUCUUGGAUGAGUGGCGAACGGGUGAGUAACGCGUAGGUAACCUGCCUUGUAGCGGGGGAUAACUAUUGGAAACGAUAGCUAAUACCGCAUAACAAUGGAUGACACAUGUCAUUUAUUUGAAAGGGGCAAUUGCUCCACUACAAGAUGGACCUGCGUUGUAUUAGCUAGUAGGUGAGGUAAUGGCUCACCUAGGCGACGAUACAUAGCCGACCUGAGAGGGUGGUCGGCCACCAUGGGACUGGGGAACGGGCCAGAAUUCCACGGGAGGCAGCAGUAGGGGAUCUUCGGCAAUGGGGGCAACCCUGACCGAGCAACGCCGCGUGAGUGGAGAAGGUUUUCGGAUCGUAAAGCUCUGUUGUAAGUCAAGAAAGGGUGUGAGAGUGGAAAGUUCACACUGUGACGGUAGCUUACCAGAAAGGGACGGCUAACUACGUG